UGGUACAGUAGUUAGUACUCAGCACUUUCACUGCUGGGGCCUGGGUUCAAUCCCUG
Molecule: transfer RNA, 56 nt
Filed under: Bos taurus (domestic cattle)
Lineage: Eukaryota; Metazoa; Chordata; Mammalia; Artiodactyla; Bovidae
Also listed under: 3 other names
Rfam family: tRNA
About the family: Transfer RNA (tRNA) molecules are approximately 80 nucleotides in length. Their secondary structure includes four short double-helical elements and three loops (D, anti-codon, and T loops). Further hydrogen bonds mediate the characteristic L-shaped molecular structure. tRNAs have two regions of fundamental functional importance: the anti-codon, which is responsible for specific mRNA codon recognition, and the 3' end, to which the tRNAs corresponding amino acid is attached (by aminoacyl-tRNA synthetases). tRNAs cope with the degeneracy of the genetic code in two manners: having more than one tRNA (with a specific anti-codon) for a particular amino acid; and 'wobble' base-pairing, i.e. permitting non-standard base-pairing at the 3rd anti-codon position.
Source: Rfam by way of RNAcentral